RNAcentral lists this unclassified non-coding RNA (425 nucleotides) under Hevea brasiliensis (rubber tree). The record is from RNAcentral. Lineage: Eukaryota; Viridiplantae; Streptophyta; Magnoliopsida; Malpighiales; Euphorbiaceae.
GAGAAGUGAAGGAUUUCAGCCCACUUGGAAGACAAGUUAAUUUACUGCACCAUCCAAUUUUAAUGCUUUUAAGAGACUGGAAGGACUGAAGUUCAUUGAAUAAAUAGAUCAAUUCUUCACAAUUAAGGAUUUCCAGUCUUUGAAGCAAUGGAAGAUCACUUAACGGAAUUUUUGUCAACAAAGCACAAUAACUAAUGCUCAAUUCUUCAAGACAAGAAAACACAGCUGUUUCGCCUCCUUUAUCUACAGUUGGUGCCUCCCAUUCAACUAAAUUCGGCAUAUAACUCAAAAAUAAUUUCUUUAAUGCUGGAAAAGGUCCCCGUUGUCCAUUGCUUCCAGUGUCAAUUCCAUAGAAUUCAUUCUCUAUACGUCUGAUCAUAUUCAUUUUUUCUAUUUUGAGCAUUUUAAGACGAGGAAGAUGUCCA